Molecule: ribosomal RNA, 1401 nt
Filed under: bacterium NLAE-zl-G408
Lineage: Bacteria
Description: 16S ribosomal RNA
Rfam family: Bacterial small subunit ribosomal RNA
Source: RNAcentral
AGUCGAGGGGCAGCAUUUUAGUUUGCUUGCAAACUAAAGAUGGCGACCGGCGCACGGGCUGAGCUAACACGCUAUCCAACCUGCCGAUAACUCGGGGAUAGCCUUUCGAAAGAAAGAUUAAUAUCCGAUAGUAUAUUAAAACCGCAUGGUUUUACUAUUAAAGAAUUUCGGUUAUCGAUGGGGAUGCGUUCCAUUAGUUUGUUGGCGGGGUAACGGCCCACCAAGACUACGAUGGAUAGGGGUUCUGAGAGGAAGGUCCCCCACAUUGGAACUGAGACACGGUCCAAACUCAUACGGGAGGCAGCAGUGAGGAAUAUUGGUCAAUGGACGAGAGUCUGAACCACCCAAGUAGCGUGAAGGAUGACGGCCCUAUGGGUUGUAAACUUCUUUUAUAUGGGAAUAAAGUAUUNCCACGUGUGGGAUUUUGUAUGUACCAUAUGAAUAAGGAUCGGCUAACUCCGUGCCAGCAGCCGCGGUAAUACGGAGGAUCCGAGCGUUAUCCGGAUUUAUUGGGUUUAAAGGGAGCGUAGGUGGAUUGUUAAGUCAGUUGUGAAAGUUUGCGGCUCAACCGUAAAAUUGCAGUUGAAACUGGCAGUCUUGAGUACAGUAGAGGUGGGCGGAAUUCGUGGUGUAGCGGUGAAAUGCUUAGAUAUCACGAAGAACUCCGAUUGCGAAGGCAGCUCACUAGACUGCAACUGACACUGAUGCUCGAAAGUGUGGGUAUCAAACAGGAUUAGAUACCCUGGUAGUCCACACAGUAAACGAUGAAUACUCGCUGUUUGCGAUAUACAGUAAGCGGCCAAGCGAAAGCAUUAAGUAUUCCACCUGGGGAGUACGCCGGCAACGGUGAAACUCAAAGGAAUUGACGGGGGCCCGCACAAGCGGAGGAACAUGUGGUUUAAUUCGAUGAUACGCGAGGAACCUUACCCGGGCUUAAAUUGCAUUUGAAUAAUCUGGAAACAGGUUAGCCGCAAGGCAAAUGUGAAGGUGCUGCAUGGUUGUCGUCNAGCUCGUGCCGUGAGGUGUCGGCUUAAGUGCCAUAACGAGCGCAACCCUUAUCUUUAGUUACUAACAGGUCAUGCUGAGGACUCUAAAGAGACUGCCCUCGUAAAAUGUGAGGAAGGUGGGGAUGACGUCAAAUCAGCACGGCCCUUACGUCCGGGGCUACACACGUGUUACAAUGGGGGGUACAGAAGGCAGCUACCUGGCGACAGGAUGCUAAUCCCAAAAACCUCUCUCAGUUCGGAUCGAAGUCUGCAACCCGACUUCGUGAAGCUGGAUUCGCUAGUAAUCGCGCAUCAGCCAUGGCGCGGUGAAUACGUUCCCGGGCCUUGUACACACCGCCCGUCAAGCCAUGAAAGCCGGGGGUACCUGAAGUACGAACCGCAAGGAGCUCCUAGG